ACGCUUUUUGUCAUGACAACGCGAGUUUGCCAAUGAAGUUUCCUCCUCGUCAGAGCUAGUAACGAAUUGCUGUGUGUAGUCUUUGCCCAUCCCCUAAGGUGGGCAUUUUUUUUG
Molecule: non-coding RNA, 114 nt
Filed under: Symbiopectobacterium purcellii
Lineage: Bacteria; Pseudomonadati; Pseudomonadota; Gammaproteobacteria; Enterobacterales; Enterobacteriaceae
Description: Candidatus Symbiopectobacterium sp. SyEd1 antisense sRNA RprA
Rfam family: RprA RNA
About the family: Translational regulation of the stationary phase sigma factor RpoS is mediated by the formation of a double-stranded RNA stem-loop structure in the upstream region of the rpoS messenger RNA, occluding the translation initiation site. Clones carrying rprA (RpoS regulator RNA A) increased the translation of RpoS. The rprA gene encodes a 106 nucleotide regulatory RNA.
Source: RNAcentral